AUUUUAAUUUGUUUCUGUUCUCUUUACAAAAAGGGGAGUGCCAUAUCUUUUCAACUGUAUCUGGAUAAUGGAAAAUUUAUCUCCCAUCAAUUUGCUGAUCCCAAGUACAGGGUAUCCACAGCACAAACAACAACACUAUUUAACGUUUAGCAACAUUUUCUCAUGCGCACGUUUGUGGCAUGCGAGCAACAUUUGCCGCUGGGAUGAUGCUGCUUGCAACAUGUGUAUACCACGAGCAUCGUUUUGGUGCUUCAGCUUCGGCUCUGGCUCUUGCGGCACUGGCGGCUUCGGGUUUAGCUUAGGCUCCACAUCUGCUGCUAGUUGUUGUUUUGGUUUCUGCUAGCUGCUAACUGCCUCGUGGCUUCGUGUGGUCUUCGUGUACGGAGCGCUCGUGUGUGCGUUUCCACUACACAUUUUCCGUGCGAUUUUUCAACAGUUUGCAAAAAAGCAGUGUUUUUGCGCGCCGAACACGAGGCUUCAGCUCCAGCUUUCAGUCUGUGUUCGCCGUCUGUUGCUUGUGGUUCGACUAUAGCCGGCAUCCGGGUCUUCCCAAUAGCCGCAGUAGCAGCAAAAGCAUUCCGCUCCUCGAUCCGUUGCAUCCACACAGCGUGCGUUGAACCUUUUUUGGAGAAUUGUUUUUGAAAUAAAAAAUAACCAAAUACUUUCCGAGACAGAAGUUGGAAACAAAUAUGGAAUAAAACUACGAAC
RNAcentral lists this long non-coding RNA (708 nucleotides) under Drosophila guanche. Lineage: Eukaryota; Metazoa; Arthropoda; Insecta; Diptera; Drosophilidae. The record is from RNAcentral.